AAAUGUGAAUUCUCCUUUACAGUCAGAAGAAGAAGUUGCAGAAGGAGAGAAAGAAGUGGAUGCUUUGAAGAAAAGUGUAGACUGGGUGUCCGACUGGUCCAGUAGACCUGAAAACAUUCCACCUAAGGAGUUCCACUUCAGGCACCCUAAACGUUCCGUUUCCUUAAGCAUGAGAAAAAGUGGAGCCAUGAAGAAAGGGGGGAUUUUCUCUGCAGAAUUUCUUAAGGUGUUCAUUCCAUCUCUCUUCCUUUCCCAUGUUUUGGCUUUGGGGCUAGGCAUCUACAUUGGAAAACGACUCAGCACACCUUCUGCCAGCACUUACUGAGGGAAAAGAAGAGCCCCUGGGAAAGCGUGUGACUUGUGAAGUGGUGUAUUGUCACAGUAGUUUAUUUGAACUUGAGACCAUUGUAAGCAUGACCCAACCUACACCCUAUUUUUACAUAUCCAAGUUCCAGUAACUCUCAAAUCCAGUAUUUUAUUCAAACUCUGUUGAGGCAUUUUACUAACCUCAUUCCCUUUUUGGCCUGUAAAACACUUUAGAAUUUCCUAACAGAGUUUACUGUUGUUUAGAAAUUUGCAAGGGCUUCUUUUCUGCAAAUGCCACCAGCAGAUUAUAAUUUUGUCAACAAUGCUGUUGUCUCCUUUUAGUACCACCAGACUUAGAACCUGCAUCAUUCAUGGUAUAAAUUUUACUCUUGCAAGAUAACCCAUCUUUCUCUUACAGCAAGACAAGGUUAGCAAAUGAUAUAAAAGCUUUGUUGUUUUCUUUUUUUUUUAAGACAAAGGCAAGCUUCCCUAAGCUUGAAUUUAUAGUUAUUAAAAAAGAAAACAAAAACAAACAAAAUAGGACACAAGAAAAGAAAAUAUCCUGGGCAAUAAAAAAUUAUUUUAAACCAGCUUUGGAGCCACUUUUUGUCUAAGCCUCUUAAUGGCGCCUUUUAAUUUGUAGGAGGCAAGCUAUAUAAAUGAUAGGUAUAAAAUAGAAGAACUAGAAUACAUCAGCAGAUUUUAAUACUAGUAUGUUAUAAUGCUGUCUUUUCUAUGGUGUAGAAUCUUUAUUUCUGGUAAGGAAUGUCUCAGGCCUAGAAAUGUAUGAAAUUGCUUUGGGGACUUCUUUGUGUGUAUUUGGUAUUUUUAUGUUUAUUAGCUGCAUGUGAAUUUUUCAUGACUUUGAUUUUUUUUUUAUUUUUUUAUUUUUUCCUAAGAGGCUUUGGAAUGAGUUCCAAUUUGUGGUAUAAAUACAGGCUUCUUGUUUUAGGAAGCAUCACUUACACUCUGAAGCCUUUAAACUCUGAAGAUAAUUGUUUCAGAGUUAUUUCAAGCACUUGGGCAACUUUGAAAACCAGACUUGGGUUGUGGGAACAGUUGACAGAGUUCUGAAGAGAUGCCAUUGGUUUUCUGCUCUCUCCCUUUCUCAUGUUUACUGUACAACCUGCCCAGGGCGAUUCCUGUGAUUGUGCAGGCACUAGCCAUUUCCUUCUCCUGUAGCCAUCUUUUCAGUUAUGUUCAACUCCUGAAGUUCCAGAACACUCAACAACUUCCUCUAAUGAUAUACUUUUUGGUUCAUUUCUCAAUGUGAAGCUUUAGGACCAAAUUGUUAGAAAGCAACAGAUUUACCAGUCAUUUCAAGUAGGUUUAUUGACUUUCUGAACACACAGCAUGAUUCUGAAGGAUACUGUUAUAUGUUUUAUAUAUAAAUAAUUACUGUUUAUGGUAUAGGCAUUGAAUAUUUAGAGAGCCAUCGUUAAUUUGAAGGCUAGCAAUCUAUUCAGUAAAUAAGGAGCAUCAGGUUGACUUGAAUAAAAGCACUCUGACCACCAGGUUUGCUAGUUUGCAGAAACUAUCUGAGUCUUUUCUCUCUUGUAUGAAGUUUUGUAAAGUUGAUGUGUUAUAGUGGAAAAUAACAUACAGAUUAAACAAAAAAAUUAAUUUCUGACUCUCUUUUUUCAAGAAUGUAGCUGGCUGUCUUUAAGAAAGAUGAGAUAUCCAAAUAGUCUUCUGAAUUCUUUGACUUUGUUUUUCUUUCUAGAUUUUGGUGUCUAAAUAAUUUUGGACAUUUUUAAAAUUAUUCCUUGUUUCUAUCUUAUUCACAAAUCUGAUAACACUUGAUUUGCCUUCUGUAACCUAUUUAUUUCAAGUCUUCAUAUUUCUUUGGGAAGAAAGUAAAUCUGCUGGCCCGCUGACUUUGAAAAGCCUGAAUAAAAUUGGAAAGGCCGGUAAAGUUAGGAGAACUAAAGAGCUAAACCGUUCUAACAUACAAUUUGUAUUACAGUUGGUAUCAUGGGAGGAAAAAGUAAAAUUAUACUUAAAGAAAAGCAGCUUUUUACAGGCAACACAUUACUCUCUUUUGAAAUUCAGUAGUAAUCUUGUCAGGUGUGUGGCUGAAUUUGGGUAUAUUUGUGGGUUUUUUUCCAACAUUGAAAAUAAAUUUAGUCCUGCCCUUUUUCUUAAAAUAGCUCUGAAAUUUUGGACUAUUACUUAAAACAUGAAUACAUGAUCACAGUAGAACUUAAUCAGAAGAUGAAGUCAUGCAGUAUUUAUUGGUAACCCUAACAUCUGGGGUAAAUGUUUAUGCUCCUACCCAGGUUUGUGUUGAAUGGAAACAGAUUGUGGGAUUGGAAAGGAGAAUUCGACAAUUAACAGUUGACAUUUUUAAGAUUAAUGUUUAGAAAGCUUUACACCUGUUUACAAUUUGAGGACGAAAAGGCAGUCUUCAUUUUUCUUAUGUUUGAUGAAAACUGGCUUAAGAUAUUUGUAAAUAUAAUCAAGAGCAGAACUGCACAAACUUGCACAUGGAAAAGUGCAGCAAGUUACUUUGAUUGCAGUAAAAAACAUCUAUUCUAAAAAAUGAAAACUGAAGACUUAGAUGAAUUUUCAAGUGAACCAGUUGUUGAAAUUAUCGAAAUUAACUGAGCCAAAGUGAUUAUGCAUUCUUCAUCUAUUUAGUUAGCACUUUGUAUCAUUAUAUACAGUUUACAAUCCAUGUAUAACUUGUAGCUACAAACAUUUUGUGCCAUUAAAGCUCUCACAGAA
Molecule: long non-coding RNA, 3033 nt
Organism: Physeter macrocephalus (sperm whale)
Lineage: Eukaryota; Metazoa; Chordata; Mammalia; Artiodactyla; Physeteridae
Exons: 3
Source: RefSeq, a predicted model, not a curated record